Odocoileus virginianus texanus is the source of this 1828-nucleotide non-coding RNA. NCBI's taxonomy places the organism in Eukaryota, Metazoa, Chordata, Mammalia, Artiodactyla, Cervidae. The record is from RefSeq and is a predicted model, not a curated record.
UGAGGUGCACUGACCAUGAGCCUCAACUCCUCCCUCGGCCACAGGAAGGAGGCGAGGAACCUCACCGAGGCGGCCGGGGACCAGGGCGGCGGCGGCGUCACAGAGCUCAUCGCCAUCGUCGUCAUCGCCGUUUUUGUCUGCCUGGGCAACCUGCUCAUCGUGAUCACCUUGUACAGGAAGCCCUACCUGCUUACGCUCAGCAACAGGUUCGUCUUCAGCCUGACCCUGUCCAACUUCCUGCUGUCUGUCCUGGUGCUGCCUUUCGUGGCGACCAGCUCCAUCCGGAGGGAAUGGAUCUUCGGAGUGGUCUGGUGCAACUUCUCAGCGCUCCUGUACCUGCUCAUCAGCUCAGCCAGCAUGCUCACCCUUGGGAUCAUCGCUGUCGACCGCUACUACGCUGUCGUGUACCCCAUGGCGUACCCAAUGAAGAUCACAGGCAGCCGGGCUGUGAUGGUGCUUGCCUACAUCUGGCUUCACUCCCUCAUCGGCUGCCUGCCACCCCUGUUUGGCUGGCCAUCAGUGGAGUUUGACGAGUUCAAGUGGAUGUGUGUGGCCGCGUGGCACCGGGAGCCCGGCUACACCGCGUUCUGGCAGAUCUGGUGCGCCCUGUUCCCCUUCUUGGUCAUGGUGGUGUGCUACGGCUUCAUCUUCCGAGUGGCCAGGGUCAAAGCACGCAAGGUGCAUUGUGGCGCUGUGGUCGCUGUGGAGGUGGGCGCACAGAGGGCCGGGAGGAAGAGCUCCAGCACCUCCACCUCCUCCUCGGGCAGCAGGAAGAACGCCUUUCAGGGCGUGGUCUAUUCAGCCAACCAGUGCAAAGCCCUCAUCAGCAUCCUGGUGGUCAUUGGUGCCUUCAUGGUCACCUGGGGCCCCUACAUGGUUGUCAUCACCUCUGAGGCCCUCUGGGGGAAGAACUGUGUCUCCCCAACCCUGGAGACCUGGGCCACUUGGCUGUCCUUUACCAGCGCCAUCUGCCACCCUCUGAUCUAUGGACUCUGGAACAAGACGGUGCGCAAGGAACUCCUGGGCAUGUGCUUUGGGGAUCGGUAUUACCGGGAGCCAUUUGUACAGCGGCAGAGGACGUCUAGGCUCUUCAGCAUUUCCAAUAGGAUCACAGACCUGGGCCUGUCCCCACACCUCACGGCCCUCAUGGCAGGCGAACAGCCCCUGGGGAACAGCAGCAGCACCGGGGACACUGGCUUCAGCUGCUCUCAGGACUCAGGAACAGAUGUCAUGCUGCUUGAAGACUACGCGUCAGAUGACAACCCUCCCUCCCAUGGCACAUGCCCACCCAAGAGGAGGAGCUCGGUGACAUUUGAAGAUGAAGUAGAACAAAUCAAAGAAGCUGCCAAGAACCCCAUUCUUCACGUGAAAGCUGAUGUGCACGAGUCCUUGGACAGUUACGCAACCAGCUUGGCCAAAGCCAUAGAGGCUGAAGCCAAAAUCAACUUAUUUGGGGAGGAGGCUUUGCCUGGGGUCUUGCUUACAGCUCGGACUGUCCCUGGGAUUGGCUUUGGGAGCCGCCGAGGCAGCAGAACUCUUGCAGGUCAGAGGCUGCAGCUUCAGAGCAUCGAAGAGGGGGAUGUUUUAGCCGCAGAGCAGAGAUGAGGGUGGAUGCCCGUUACCAUCUGUGCCAGGGUCCCGGGAGCAACAUCUGAUACGCAGUCAUCUGAAAAAACACUGAAAACAAUGUCUAUGUGUCCUUUUCUCAAGCCUCCCUUCCCACGGGCUGAAAAGAGGAAGGAGACUAAGCCAACUGUGGCACAAUCCAUACCACAGUCACCUAGGUACAGCAUCCAUGUGUUUUUAAUAAACUCGUGCAAGAAAAUUA